RNAcentral lists this unclassified non-coding RNA (301 nucleotides) under uncultured Leotiomycetes. RNAcentral's name for it is "sequence contains ITS1". The stretch from base 1 to 105 matches the Rfam family "5.8S ribosomal RNA", at positions 50 to 154 of the family's 154-position model. The record is from RNAcentral. Lineage: Eukaryota; Fungi; Ascomycota; Leotiomycetes.
GAAAUGCGAUAAGUAAUGUGAAUUGCAGAAUUCAGUGAAUCAUCGAAUCUUUGAACGCACAUUGCGCCCCUUGGUAUUCCGGGGGGCAUGCCUGUUCGAGCGUCAUUACAACUCUCAAGCUCUGCUUGGUAUUGGGUAUCACCUUUGGUGGUGUGCCCCAAAAUCAGUGGCGGUGCCAUCUGGCUCUAAGCGUAGUAGAAUUUCCACAACGUUCACGAGUCCGGCGAGGCCUUCUGCCGCCAAAAACACCAUUUUUACCAAGGUUGACCUCGGAUCAGGUAGGGAUACCCGCUGAACUUAA